Molecule: unclassified non-coding RNA, 352 nt
Filed under: soil metagenome
Description: partial contains 5.8S ribosomal RNA, internal transcribed spacer 2, and large subunit ribosomal RNA
Rfam family: 5.8S ribosomal RNA (bases 1-120)
Source: RNAcentral
GAUGAAGAACGUAGCGAAAUGCGAAAAGUAGUGUGAAUUGCAGAAUUCAGUGAAUCAUCGAAUCUUUGAACGCACAUUGCGCCCGCUGGUACUCCGGCGGGCACGCCUGUCCGAGCGUCAUUUCAACCCUCAAGCCCUCCUUCGGGAUGGGCCUGGUGUUGGGGCUCGGCCGCCAUCUCCGGCGGCCGUCCCCUAAAUACAGUGGCGGUCACGUCGCGACUCCUUUGCGUAGUAGAAACACCUCGCUCCGGAUAGCAACGCGGUCCACGCCGUAAAACCCCCAAUUUUCAAUGGUUGACCUCGGAUCAGGUGGGAAUACCCGCUGAACUUAGGCAUAUCAAUAAGCGGAGGA